AUGGCCGCGCAGAGCUCCUCCCGCCUUCACCGCCUCCUCACAUUGCUCGACACCGGUUCGACGCAAGCGACAAGGUUCGCGGCCGCGCGCCAGAUCGGAGAAAUCGCAAGGACACAUCCCCAGGAGCUAAAUGCUCUGUUGAAAAAGGUGUCUCAGUACCUUCGUAGUAAGAAUUGGGACACGAGGGUUGCUGCAGCUCAGGCGAUCGGUUCCAUAGCAGAGAAUGUCAAGCACACGUCAGUCAAAGAUUUGUUUGCAGCCGUGGAAGCAGAAAAACAUGCUUCUGGGUUAUCUGAUGAAACUGGUGAUGUUGCGUCAGCAUUGCCACGCCCUGAUACUACUGCAACAUCUGAGCUUGCUUUUGGAAGCUUUGAUAUAAACAGGGUACUGGAAUUUGGGUCUCCUUUGUUGUCAUCGGGUGGACAGGAAUUCGAUGUUGCUAACGAUAAUGGCAAGAAUCCAUCAGACCGCUUAGCUCGCCAAAAGCAAAAUCUUCGGCGGCGUUUAGGUCUCGAUGUGUGCGAGCAGUUUAUGGAUCUCAAUGAUGUUUUCAAAGAUGAGGAUCUUCUUGCCCAAAAGAAUUAUUGGGGUGCAAAUGUCCAAAACAAUGGAUUUUAUUCGUAUAAUAGUGGUCAGAAUAUUCAGCACUUGGUUGCCUCCAUGGUUCCUAGGUAUCCAAAACAUUCUACUUUUCGACCUAAGCGGCUAAGUGCCAGGGAACGUAAUAUGCUGAAGCGUAAAGCAAAGAGCAAUGCAAAGGAUCAUACAAAGUCUAUACCGGAGGAUGACGAGGUUGUGCUAAAAAGUUCUGCAUCGUCCAACGGAGCUUCUUCUGACCAAGCUGGCACAUAUAAUGAUGCUUCUGACACAGUUGCAGAUGAAGACAAUGUGGAGUAUAGUGACAGUGGGAGAUGGCCUUUUCAACAGUUUGUUGAUCAGCUUAUUCUUGACAUGUUUGACCCUAUUUGGGAAGUUCGCCAUGGCACCAUUAUGGCUUUGAGGGAAAUUUUGACGCAUCAAGGUGCUUGUGCUGGAGUAUAUUUCCCUGAUCUGAGCUCACCUUUUGCUGAUCUGGAUGAUAAAACCGAUUCUGACACCCUGAAAAAGCCUCAUGGUAUUGAUCUUAAUGAAGACAUUGAUGCGGAACAUCUUGAACCGGUUUUGAAGAGGCAUAAGAAAGAAGAGCUAAAUCCUUCUGAGAUUAUGCUUGAACCAGUUGUGGAGAGACAUAUGGAAGAGGAGAAGCCAAAUCCUUCUGAGCUUAUGGACAUUGACGCGGAUAAGGAUCUGGUCAAUCCUGAUGAUUCCAAAGCCGAGGCAGGUUUGAGUAAUGUGCUCACUGUAUCGAGUGGUGAACCUAAUUCUGCUCAUGUAAAGGUCGAGCCAGAGUUGCAGCUUGAUAAUUCAACUGAUCCGUCUAAAGUGGAAACAUCAUGUACAUCACUCAACAGUGCACUCAACUCGGUAUCAAAUCCAAGUUCUGUUGUACAUGCUCCUGACAAUUCAAAAUAUGUGAAACUGAUGAAAUUGGCCAAGUACUCGUGUAUGAAGAAUUGGGAGUUUCUUCAAGAUUGUGCAAUUCGUUUCCUUUGUGCACUCUCACUGGACCGCUUUGGUGAUUAUGUAUCUGAUCAAGUGGUUGCCCCUGUCCGUGAAACUUGCGCUCAAGCUCUUGGUGCUGUUCUGAAGUACAUGCAUCCUUCUUUAGUGUGCCAUACACUAAAUAUCUUGCUGCAAAUGCAGCGCAGGCAAGAGUGGGAAGUUCGUCAUGGGAGCCUCCUUGGAAUUAAAUACCUGGUUGCGGUUCGCAAGGAAAUGCUUAAAGAUCUGUUUGAGUAUGUCCUUCAUGCUUGUAAAGCUGGUCUGGAAGAUCCGGAUGAUGAUGUCCGUGCUGUAGCUGCAGAGGCCCUGAUCCCGGCUGCUGCUUCUUUAGUUAGACUAAAUGAUCAAUUGCUGAAUUCAGUUGUGAUGUUGUUAUGGGAUAUAUUGCUUGACCUUGAUGACCUAAGCCCAUCUACAAGCAGUGUAAUGAAUUUGUUAGCUGAGAUAUAUUCGCAACCAGAGAUGGUUCCAAAGAUGCUUGGCACGGCAGCCUUAAGCGAGAGAGAAUUUGAUCUAAACAAAGCUACUCAGAUGGCUGAGCAAGAAGACAAGUUGGCAUACAGCGAGAACCCUUAUGUUUUAGCCACACUGACACCCCGUUUGUGGCCUUUUAUGAGACACAGUAUUACAUCAGUCCGGCGUUCUGCUAUACGAACAUUGGAGAGGCUUCUUGAGGUUUGCAACACCAGGAGUUCAGCUGGAGACGCCUCAUCUAAUUUCUGGCCUACAUCCAUAUUAGGUGAUUCACUGCAGGUUGCCUUCCAGAAUAUACUUUUGGAGUCGAAUGACGAGAUUCUUCAAUCUUCUGAAAGGGCUUGGAAACUUCUACUUCAGUGCCCUGAGAAAGACCUUGAGUGUGCUGCAAUAUCAUAUUUUAGUAAUUGGGUGCAACUUGCUACGACUCCGUAUGGCUCAACAUUGGAUUCUACAAAAAUGUUUAUGCCAGUUGCCCUUCCCCGAGGAAGCCGUUCAAGAGCUGCAAAGAUAAGAUCUGCAAAGCUAGAACAUGAAAGUUCAAGAAUGAUAUCUUUUGGUUCUACAGGAGAAAAUACUUCACACGAGAAGCAAUUCGAUCUUUCUUCAAAUGUUCCAAAGAUAAUCGUGGGGGCCGAUUCUGACAAAUCUGUUACCCAUACACGAGUGCUAACAGCAAUGGCCCUUGGGCUUUUCGCCUCAAAGUUGCCAGUUGGCUCGUGGCAAGUUGUUCUUACUCCACUUGCUAAUGAUGUCAUGUCUCUCUCAGGAGUCCAGAGACAGGUGGCUUCUAUGGUUAUUGUUUCUUGGUUUAAAGAUCUCAGAGGAAGAGAUCUCGCUGCAGUGGGCACAUUGCUAGCUUUCUUCUCCUCUGUGAAAGAGUAUCUUUUGGACUUGCUGUCUUGCUCUGAUCCGGCAUUUCCAACAAAAGGCUCUGUGCUUCCCUAUUCUGAACUUGCAAGAACAUACACAAAGAUGCGCAAUGAAGCCACUAAUUUAUUCCGCACAGUAGAGUCUUGUGCUGUUUUCAAAGAUUAUGCCAGCAGCUUAAAUUUUAACGCUGACAUGCUGAGCGUUGAUGAUGCUAUUAAUUUUGCUUCAAAGCUGUCGUUACCCACUGAGUUUGAUCUCCCUUCGGACAGUGAGAAAAUUGUCCUGAAUAACAUAGAGUCAGCUAAACAAGGCCUGUUGUCCACAUCAGGCUACUUGAAGUGUGUUCAGAACAAUUUGCACGUCACUGUCUCUUCUUUAGUGGCUUCUGCUGUUGUCUGGAUGUCGGGGUUACCAAGCAAGUUGAAUCCAGUCAUUUUACCUUUAAUGGCUGCAAUAAAAAGAGAACAGGAGGAACUACUUCAAGACAAAGCUGCAGAUGCACUUGCGGAGCUCAUUUUUGGUUGUGUUGGUCGGAAGCCAGGCCCCAAUGACAAGCUUACAAAGAACCUCUGCACCUUAGCAUGCACUGAUAUCAGCGAGACACCUCAAGCUGCUGUUAUCAAUUCAAUACAGGUUAUCGAGGACCAAAAUUUGUUGUCAAUCGGGAAGCGUUUUAGCAACCACAAAUCCAGGGGUCAUGUGAAUUCUGAUGGUGAAGAAAGAACAAAAACGGAAGGUUAUAUAAGUCGUCGUGGAUCAGAGUUGGCUUUAAAGCAUCUCUGUGAGAAAUUUGGAUCAUCAUUAUUCGAAAAACUUCCCAAGUUGUGGGAUUGCCUUACCGAGUUUCUUGAACCUAUUAAGAUCGAAGAUGACAUUCAGAAAGAUGAUCCAAGUAUCACACAACUAGGCAGGUCUUGUGAGGAUAAGGACCCACAGUCCCUCAUAAAUAACAUCCAGGUUGUUCGUUCAAUUACACCUCACCUGCCUGAGCCCUUGAGGCCUCAGCUGUUAAGGCUCCUUCCCUGUAUUCUUGGGUGCGCGCGUCAUUCUCAUGUGGCUGUUAGGUUAGCUGCUGCCAGGUGUAUCACGUCAAUGGCGAAGUCACUGACCGGUAAUGUGAUGGUAGUUGUCAUAGAAAAUGCCAUUCCAAUGUUGUCGGAUUCAUCUUCUGUGUGUGCAAGACAAGGAGCUGGGAUGCUUUUGAGCCUUCUUGUUCAGGGUUUGGCUGUGGAGUUGGUUCCUUAUGCUCCUUUCCUUGUUGUACCUCUUCUGAGGUGCAUGAGCGACCCUGAUGGAUCUGUUAGGCAGUCUGUCACUCACAGUUUCGCUGCUUUGGUCCCUUUACUGCCAUUAGCGAAGGGAGUUCCGCUACCAAGUGGACUAAGUGAGCGCUUAUAUAGCAGCACAGAAGAUGCGCAGUUUCUGGAACAACUCCUUGACAACUCUCAAAUCGAUGAUCACAAGCUCAACAUUCAUCUCAGUGUUGAGUUGCGCAGGUACCAGCAAGAAGGAAUCAACUGGUUAGCAUUCCUUAGACGGUUUAAGUUACAUGGAAUUUUAUGUGAUGACAUGGGGCUUGGCAAGACACUCCAGGCGUCUGCUAUCGUAGCAAGUGAUAUUGCCGAGUCCCGUGCACGGAAUGAUGACAAAGAUCCAAAAUCUUUGAUUAUCUGUCCUUCUACAUUAGUAGCACACUGGGAAUACGAAGUGGAGAAAUACAUAGACAGCUCUAUCAUGAAACCUCUUCAGUACAUUGGCUCGUCACAAGACAGGAUGACGCUCCGUGCUCAAUUCGAUAAAUUCAAUGUCAUCAUAACAUCGUAUGAUAUUAUACGCAAGGAUAUCGAUUUUCUCGAGAGUGUCAUUUGGAACUAUUGUGUUCUGGAUGAAGGGCACAUAAUAAAGAACUCAAGAUCUAAAAUAACGUCUGCUGUGAAGCAGUUGAAAGCACAGCACCGUCUUAUCUUGAGUGGAACUCCUAUUCAGAACAAUGUAUUGGAAUUGUGGUCGCUAUUUGACUUCCUUAUGCCAGGGUUUCUUGGAACAGAAAAACAGUUCCAAUCUACAUAUGGGAAACCACUGAUAGCAGCUAAAGAUUCCAAAUGUUCAGCAAAGGAUGCUGAAGCAGGCAUUCUUGCAAUGGAGGCACUUCACAAACAGGUCAUGCCAUUUCUACUCAGAAGAACCAAGGAUGAAGUCUUAUCGGAUCUUCCAGAGAAGAUUAUCCAGGACAGACAUUGCAAUCUCAGCCAUUUACAGCUGAAACUUUAUGACAAGUUCUCCAGCUCCAACGUGAAAGAAGAGAUUUCAACUAUAGUAAAAGCAGAUGAAUCAGAGCCAUCCACCUCUCAACCAAAGGCAACUCGCCAUGUGUUCCAGGCACUACAAUACCUGUUGAAGCUCUGCAGCCAUCCUUUACUUGUAAUUGGGGAAAGCCCACCUGACUAUAUUGUGGAGCAUCUAAAGGAAAUAGGUAUGGGAACUGGUGAUGAACUGCAUGAGCUGCACCACUCUCCUAAGCUUGUUGCUCUUCAAGAGAUAUUGCAAGAGUGUGGUAUAGGAUCAGAAAUAUCUAGUCCUGAUGCUUCUGCAGCUGUUGGGCAACACAGAGUUUUGAUUUUUGCUCAACAUAAGGCUUUCCUUGACAUUAUUGAGAAGGACCUGUUUCAGUCCCAUAUGAGAAGCGUCACCUAUUUGCGGCUUGAUGGCUCUGUUCAAACGGACAAGAGAUUUGAAAUUGUCAAAACGUUCAAUUCGGACCCAACCAUCGAUGUGCUUCUACUAACGACUCAUGUUGGUGGUCUGGGCUUGAAUUUGACGUCUGCUGACACUUUGGUCUUCAUGGAACAUGAUUGGAACCCAAUGAAGGAUCUUCAGGCGAUGGACAGAGCACAUCGUCUGGGCCAAAGGAAAGUUGUGAAUGUGCACCGUCUCAUCAUGCGCGGCACCCUGGAGGAGAAAGUGAUGAGUCUCCAGCGGUUCAAGGUGUCGGUCGCCAACGCGGUCAUAAACUCUGAGAACGCUAGCCUGAAGACCAUGAACACUGACCAGCUACUCGAUUUGUUCACUUCGACCCCUGCUUCCAGAAAGGCGUCGGUUCUCCCAAGCAGUUCGAGCGCCACGGAAGAAGAGAGCAACAAGGGGAAACCGGGUCGCAAGGGCCUCAAGUCAAUCCUGAGUGGGCUGGACGAGCUGUGGGACCAGUCGCAGUACGCGGACGAGUAUGAUAUGAACCAGUUCUUGGCGAAGCUCAACGGGUGA
Molecule: ribosomal RNA, 6210 nt
Filed under: Triticum aestivum (bread wheat)
Lineage: Eukaryota; Viridiplantae; Streptophyta; Magnoliopsida; Poales; Poaceae
Description: partial small subunit ribosomal RNA
Source: RNAcentral